Molecule: unclassified non-coding RNA, 205 nt
Filed under: uncultured Entoloma
Lineage: Eukaryota; Fungi; Basidiomycota; Agaricomycetes; Agaricales; Entolomataceae
Description: sequence contains ITS2
Source: RNAcentral
AAUUCUCAAAUCUUUUUACCUUUAUUGGUUUGAUUUGGAUUGUGGAAGUUUUGCUGGCUUUUUCAAGUUUGCUCUUCUUAAAUACAUUAGCAAAAGUCUGAUUUGCUUGUCUUUGGUAUAAUAAAUCACUUGUACCACUGACAUCAAACUUUUCAUUAUGAAAUGAGACUUGUGCUUCCAACCGUCUACGAAGACAAAGCUGAAA